This is a non-coding RNA of Salmo salar (Atlantic salmon), 54 nucleotides long. The record is from Rfam. NCBI's taxonomy places the organism in Eukaryota, Metazoa, Chordata, Actinopteri, Salmoniformes, Salmonidae.
UGCACGCGUGACUGUAAGUCGCUUUGGAUAAAAGCAUCUGCUAAAUGGCAUGUU